RNAcentral lists this ribosomal RNA (446 nucleotides) under uncultured bacterium. RNAcentral describes it as "partial 16S ribosomal RNA". It matches the Rfam family "Bacterial small subunit ribosomal RNA", at positions 338 to 795 of the family's 1533-position model. The record is from RNAcentral.
CCUACGGGAGACAGCAGUCGAGAAUCUUUCACAAUGGGGGAAACCCUGAUGGUGCGACGCCGCGUGGGGGAAUGAAGGUCUUCGGAUUGUAAACUCCUGUCAUGUGGGAGCAAAUUAAAAAGAUAGUACCACAAGAGGAAGAGACGGCUAACUCGGUGCCAGCAGCCGCGGUAAUACAGAGGUCUCAAGCGUUGUUCGGAAUCACUGGGCGUAAAGCGUGCGUAGGCUGUUUCGUAAGUCGUGUGUGAAAGGCGCGGGCUCAACCCGCGGACGGCACAUGAUACUGCGAGACUAGAGUAAGGGAGGGGGAAGCGGAAUUCUCGGUGUAGCAGUGAAAUGCGUAGAUAUCGGGAGGAACACUCGUGGCGAAGGCGGGUUCCUGGACAUUAACUGACGCUGAGGCACGAAGGCCAGGGGAGCGAAAGGGAUUAGAUACCCCAGUAGUC